RNAcentral lists this unclassified non-coding RNA (220 nucleotides) under fungal sp. RNAcentral's name for it is "partial internal transcribed spacer region". The stretch from base 1 to 46 matches the Rfam family "Eukaryotic small subunit ribosomal RNA", at positions 1786 to 1831 of the family's 1831-position model. The record is from RNAcentral. Lineage: Eukaryota; Fungi.
AAGUCGUAACAAGGUUUCCGUAGGUGAACCUGCGGAAGGAUCAUUAACACAAGUAAAAAAACAUUUUACAACACCCUAUUAUGAAUUUAAAUUUUUUAAUUUUAAUUUUAAUUUUUUUAUAAAACUACAAAAAAAAUAUUUAAUUUAUUUGACUAACAUUUCUUAAUUAUUUAUUUAAAAUUUUAUAAAACAACUCUUAACAACGGAUAUCUUGGCUCUC